Molecule: ribosomal RNA, 614 nt
Filed under: Escherichia coli
Lineage: Bacteria; Pseudomonadati; Pseudomonadota; Gammaproteobacteria; Enterobacterales; Enterobacteriaceae
Description: partial 23S ribosomal RNA
Rfam family: Bacterial large subunit ribosomal RNA
Source: RNAcentral
AGACCCGAAACCCGGUGAUCUAGCCAUGGGCAGGUUGAAGGUUGGGUAACACUAACUGGAGGACCGAACCGACUAAUGUUGAAAAAUUAGCGGAUGACUUGUGGCUGGGGGUGAAAGGCCAAUCAAACCGGGAGAUAGCUGGUUCUCCCCGAAAGCUAUUUAGGUAGCGCCUCGUGAAUUCAUCUCCGGGGGUAGAGCACUGUUUCGGCAAGGGGGUCAUCCCGACUUACCAACCCGAUGCAAACUGCGAAUACCGGAGAAUGUUAUCACGGGAGACACACGGCGGGUGCUAACGUCCGUCGUGAAGAGGGAAACAACCCAGACCGCCAGCUAAGGUCCCAAAGUCAUGGUUAAGUGGGAAACGAUGUGGGAAGGCCCAGACAGCCAGGAUGUUGGCUUAGAAGCAGCCAUCAUUUAAAGAAAGCGUAAUAGCUCACUGGUCGAGUCGGCCUGCGCGGAAGAUGUAACGGGGCUAAACCAUGCACCGAAGCUGCGGCAGCGACACUGUGUGUUGUUGGGUAGGGGAGCGUUCUGUAAGCCUGUGAAGGUGUGCUGUGAGGCAUGCUGGAGGUAUCAGAAGUGCGAAUGCUGACAUAAGUAACGAUAAAGCGGGU